RNAcentral lists this ribosomal RNA (429 nucleotides) under Bacteroidota bacterium. RNAcentral's name for it is "Bacteroidetes bacterium partial 16S ribosomal RNA". It matches the Rfam family "Bacterial small subunit ribosomal RNA", at positions 355 to 776 of the family's 1533-position model. Lineage: Bacteria; Pseudomonadati; Bacteroidota. The record is from RNAcentral.
UAGGGAAUCUUCGGCAAUGGGGGGAACCCUGUCCGAGCAACGCCGCGUGAGUGAAGAAGGUUUUCGGAUCGUAAAGCUCUGUUGUUAAGGAAGAACGAGUGUGAGAAUGGAAAGUUCAUACUGUGACGGUACUUAACCAGAAAGGGACGGCUAACUACGUGCCAGCAGCCGCGGUAAUACGUAGGUCCCGAGCGUUGUCCGGAUUUAUUGGGCGUAAAGCGAGCGCAGGCGGUUAGAUAAGUCUGAAGUUAAAGGCAGUGGCUCAACCAUUGUAGGCUUUGGAAACUGUGUAACGUGAGUGCAGAAGGGGAGAGUGGAAUUCCAUGUGUAGCGGUGAAAUGCGUAGAUAUAUGGAGGAACGCCGGUGGCGAAAGCGGCUCUCUGGUCUGUAACUGACGCUGAGGCUCGAAAGCGUGGGGAGCGAACAGG